Molecule: unclassified non-coding RNA, 400 nt
Filed under: soil metagenome
Description: partial contains 5.8S ribosomal RNA, internal transcribed spacer 2, and large subunit ribosomal RNA
Rfam family: 5.8S ribosomal RNA (bases 1-122)
Source: RNAcentral
GAUGAAGAACGUAGCGAAAUGCGAUACUUGGUGUGAAUUGCAGAAUCCCGUGAACCAUCGAGUCUUUGAACGCAAGUUGCGCCUCAAGCCAUUAGGUUGAGGGCACGUCUGCCUGGGCGUCACAUAUCGUUGCCUGAUGCCAGUUUCCUCGUGAUGGGCGACUGUGCAGGGCGAAUGAUGGCUUCCCGUGAGCAUUGUUGCCUCAUGGUUGGUUGAAAAUUGAGUCCUUGGUAGGGAGCGCCGUGAUAGAUGGUGGUUGAGUGACGAACGAGACCCAAUCAUGUGAGACCCCUACCGAAUUUGGCCUUCAUGACCCACAUGCGUCUUUGGAACGCUCAUGACGAGACCUCAGGUCAGGCGGGGCUACCCGCUGAGUUUAAGCAUAUCAAUAAGCGGAGGA